AGCGUACCUACAUAUUCUUUCUUCUGUUUUUGGAGAGUACUUGUUCGGCUUUUGUUUUAAUAUAGCUCCCCAUCCUAUUUCAGAUGCAUCUGUCUCUAUUAUAAAAUAAUAGUCAUCUAAAGGUCAUUAUCAUCAGCUCCUUGGAGUUCUAAAUUGGACUUUCCGGUAUUGGAACUUAUAGUCUUACGUACUUCUGUUAUGUAUGGGAUAUUAUCUUGAUAAGGAAUAAAUGUAAUUCCUUGCUCAUGUAUGAUCGUUGUUUGCAACGAAAAUUGUAAAAACCUUAGUCCUAAGAUCAUAUCAUCAUGUAUCAUAGAUAGGUCUCUUAUUGUAAUCUCAUCCAUAAUAUAUUUAGUAUUAUUUAUUUGUACCUCAA
This is a long non-coding RNA of Panicum virgatum (switchgrass), 376 nucleotides long. RefSeq lists it as uncharacterized. Lineage: Eukaryota; Viridiplantae; Streptophyta; Magnoliopsida; Poales; Poaceae. The record is from RefSeq and is a predicted model, not a curated record. The transcript has 2 exons.